UACGGAGGGAGCUAGCGUUGUUCGGAAUUACUGGGCGUAAAGCGCACGUAGGCGGCCAUUCAAGUCAGAGGUGAAAGCCCGGGGCUCAACCCCGGAACUGCCUUUGAAACUAGAUGGCUGGAAUCUUGGAGAGGCGAGUGGAAUUCCGAGUGUAGAGGUGAAAUUCGUAGAUAUUCGGAAGAACACCAGUGGCGAAGGCGACUCGCUGGACAAGUAUUGACGCUGAGGUGCGAAAGCGUGGGGAGCAAACAGG
This 253-nucleotide ribosomal RNA is filed under the name uncultured bacterium. RNAcentral describes it as "partial 16S ribosomal RNA". It matches the Rfam family "Bacterial small subunit ribosomal RNA", at positions 524 to 776 of the family's 1533-position model. The record is from RNAcentral.